GUUGCAGACCUGGAGCAGGCAGAUGCACGGCCCAGACAGUUUCACGCCCCUGUUGUUACUGAUGCGUCCAGUAGGGGGAGGCUGCUGUACAGUAUGAGCCAUCAGAACAGAAGCGACACAAAAAAGAGGGCAAAGACAUGUACACUGCCAACAUGCAUGCCACAACCCCCAAGCCUACUCUCCAGAUAAUGCUACCAUGAAGGAUGCCCUUUCCUACAUGAACACAAGUCACCAUCCCAGACCAUUAUCUGUUAUGUGUAUUGAAGCUACUCUAAAGAGAGAUCCUCCUUCUAGUCUCCCUGUAUAGUAAUCAAAGCCUGGUUUUGGAGAUGACCAGCACAGAGACAUCUUUAGGUCCACAGCUAAGAGACGAUUGCCACGUUCCUAUGGCAUAUAACGUCGACAUUAUGCCCUCUACACCUUGCUGAACACUCCAUUCAAUUUCCUUCAGCUUGACAUUCCUGCAGGCAGAGUCUUAUUGAGCAGUUUGAGACAAGAGGGGUAUGUUGUAGGGGAAUUUACAGUAAAGACCCUCGGACCAGGUGUGUAAAUUCAUUAUGGAUGUCCUUUUUCCAGAGUCCAUUAUCUGUGCCCUGGCUUUUGUGGAAAAUCUGUCCAUUCUAAAGGCUGAGGAGAAAUUUCAGCGAAGACCUGUCAUUUACAUAAGGUACUGUAAGGAUACUAUAAAGGAAAACAUUUCUUUCAACAACUAUCUAACUUUUGUUUAUCAGUGAGUGGGAGCAUUUUUACAGGAGGACAGAGCAAUAAUUAAAAGAGAGAGUCAUCAAUGGGAGUCAUCCUAGUUCAUGUUUUUAAUAAAUGGUGUUAAUAAAUAAUGUUGUACACAAAAGUUGGCUUUUUCUUCUCAGAUGGCUAAAUGGCCCUUGGAAUUUUAGAAAAGGGUGAAUUGUGUUUGUCUUUGUAGGACACUGUUCUGUUGCUGUAUGACAACCAAUAGUGUAUAUUAAAGCAUAAAUAUUGAAUAAAUAUUUAAUUGAUGGUCCAUAUGAUUACACUGUAUGCCUGAUGGGCUAAAUAUGGUUAAUAACUGAAUGUAACUAUAUAUAAAUUCACAACAACAUAUCACUCCAUCUCCUGUAUAUAUGAAAACCUACAGUGAAUAUUAGGCUACAGUAGAUCAUGUAUCAUUACAUUGUCCAUUUGAUCCAAAUAUGUGCAUUUUUGUAUUUACUAAUUAAAUGUGUAAUGUUUUCAAAAACACUAAUUGAGUUGUCUCCUGUAUAGGCUAUGCAUGUAGGCCAACAAUGAAUAUGUAGAGAUUUUAAUCCGUAGUGCAGAUCAUCUGAUAUCUUAAUGUAAUUUAUUUAAAUUCACCCACACAGAAGAAAAAAAAACAACAACUCUCAAUUAGUCAAUGUCUAUGGACGGGAGUUGAGUGUCGUUUUUUUUCCCGCUGUAUAUCCUCCUCCUAGACGCAUCAGGAACAACAGGGGCGUAAAACUGCCUGCUCCAGGUCUGCAGCCUCCCCGUAUAACCCCAAACUGCUAAUCGACUUAACACUUUUGAAAUAAAGAAAGUUAAGCCUUGGUUAAAAAUACUAUUUUUAACUUGUCCUCCAAAACAGAGACUGGACUUUAUUACUGGCAUUGUUAUUGAUAAACCCACCAAGAGCCUAUAACUCAGCUAAUUUAAGAUAAAUUACAUUAACUUUAUUACAGAGAAAG
This is a long non-coding RNA of Onychostoma macrolepis, 1685 nucleotides long. RefSeq lists it as uncharacterized. Lineage: Eukaryota; Metazoa; Chordata; Actinopteri; Cypriniformes; Cyprinidae. The transcript is spliced from 6 exons. The record is from RefSeq and is a predicted model, not a curated record.